RNAcentral lists this long non-coding RNA (548 nucleotides) under Marmota monax (woodchuck). The record is from RNAcentral. Lineage: Eukaryota; Metazoa; Chordata; Mammalia; Rodentia; Sciuridae.
GUAAGUAUUUUGGAGUAGUGUUAACCAUAUUUUUAAUGAGAAGAAAUGAUAAAGAUUAAAAUUAGAUUAUAUUCUAGUUAACAAAAGCAUAAUAGCUAUAGAAUCAGAUCUGUUUGGAUCUUAUUUGAUCUUAUAAUGGGGAUAUGGAGUGAUGUGUAGUGGCUUAGUGUUGGAACCUAGGAUGGGAUUUUAACUUAAUGAAGGGAAAAAGUAAUUGCAGUUAAAAAAAGGUAUAAUGAGGGAAAAAGCAUUACUUAAUGACCAAUAUAAACUACUUUUAAAGCUUAGUCCCAUUUAAAUUCUAUAGAAUCUAAUAAGUUACUUCUGAAAAGUCUGAUGAUCCAUCUGUUGUUUGGAAUUCUAGUGACAAUAUAUAAGUCAACUAAUAUUGCAUUGUGUGAGCAGAGCUGGUAUUGUGGUUUUUGUUUUGAUGUGUAGCUUUGUUCCUUUCUAGGACAAUGCACAAGUGAAAGUUGGUAGGUAAAGAAAUUUCCUCUUAACAAAUCUGAGAUAAAGAAACAUACCUGGUGAGCAGGAGAAAGCAGGAC